GAACGUGAAGCCACCUUCGGGUGGUGGAAAGUGGCAGACGGGUGAGUAACGCGUGGGAACGUGCCUUUCGGUUCGGAAUAACCCAGGGAAACUUGGGCUAAUACCGGAUACGCCUUUCGGGGGAAAGAUUUAUCGCCGAAAGAUCGGCCCGCGUCGGAUUAGCUAGUUGGCGGGGUAACGGCCCACCAAGGCGAAGAUCGGUAUCCGGCCUGAGAGGGCGCACGGACACACUGGAACUGAAACACGGUCCAGACUCCUACGGGAGGCAGCAGUGGGGAAUUUUGCGCAAUGGGGGAAACCCUGACGCAGCAACGCCGCGUGGAGGAUGAAGCCCUUUGGGGCGUAAACUCCUUUCGACCAAGACGAUAAUGACGGUACUGGUGGAAGAAGCACCGGCUAACUCUGUG
RNAcentral lists this ribosomal RNA (407 nucleotides) under uncultured bacterium. RNAcentral describes it as "bacterial SSU rRNA". It matches the Rfam family "Bacterial small subunit ribosomal RNA", at positions 64 to 507 of the family's 1533-position model. The record is from RNAcentral.